CCGCUCACUGCGGUCAAAGUUCAACAUGGUUCAAUUUUGACCGGCAAGCGGUACCGCGGCAGAUAACGCAUGCCGUGACUCGGCUCACGAGACCAGGGAGAAACUGUAGUGCAAACUACUAUAAACACAGCAGGUGACGCACCCACGAAUGGCCAGCGUCCAGCACCCUAGAAAACUCCGCCUAUAAUCAGCAGGUGACGCUUAGCAACCACAACUGACCAGCGUCCAGCAGCCGGCAGAGCGGAAAGCAGCGUGGCAUACCAUAUUUAGUAUGUUUUCACAGCAGGAGCAGCUGAAGCUGCUUAUGCAGAUGAACUCCAACCAACUGACAAACUGCAAAUGUAAUGAACAUUUAGGAGUGAGUGGCAGGCUGCAGUAGAAGCAGUCUGU
Molecule: long non-coding RNA, 390 nt
Filed under: Astyanax mexicanus (Mexican tetra)
Lineage: Eukaryota; Metazoa; Chordata; Actinopteri; Characiformes; Acestrorhamphidae
Description: lncRNA (ENSAMXG00005003900.1)
Source: RNAcentral